Oryctolagus cuniculus (rabbit) is the source of this 8416-nucleotide non-coding RNA. Lineage: Eukaryota; Metazoa; Chordata; Mammalia; Lagomorpha; Leporidae. The record is from RefSeq and is a predicted model, not a curated record.
UCGGCUCGGGAGCGUGCGCGGUGGGCAGUCUGGCGUCAGGCUAGCUCCUUGGACUUCCUGCCCCGCGGCUGACAGAGUGCGGGGAGUCCGCUGCUUCCUUGGGGCGGACGUCCCCACGUCAGCCGGGGAGCCCCUAGCCGCUGGAGUCUGACCUGGGCGGCCCCUCCACAGCUCCAUCCGAACCUCUGAAGUAGAAUCUCCAAAAGGAACAUGCUGCUGCUCUCCAAAGUGGGAAAGGGAUGCUGGGGAAUAAAAACACAGAGACCAGAACAGUCACCCAGCGGCUGUGCGUGCGUGCGGUCACGUGGGUGACAGUGGGGGGAUGGCCUGACAGCGGCAGUAAGAGGUUAAUGAAGGAGCCUACACAGUCGUUCUCUCCUCAAGACAACGCGGCACUCUGGAGGGUGAGUGGAGGCUUCCAGGGGCAGGAGAAGGACCCAGGUAUGCGGGGAAAGAAAGCAGACUGCACGGCCUCCUGUCCUGGACCUUGGCAUGGGUUUGUGGAGAGAGUCAAGGAAAAGGAUGGAAAAUCAAUAGUAAGCAGAGCGAAGGCCUCUGAGAAGGAUUUGUUAUCUUUGUGGCCUGCAUUCAGAGUGGAGCCUUUAUGUCCAUGUGAGUCUCUGCGUAUCUGUGACAUGCUUACCUACUUCUGAUUCCAGGACUGCUAGGAGAACAUGGCUUCCCAGUGACUGGGAAGAGACGCAAUCUGACCCCACCAGACUCAGCAAGUGAUGGCUGCAGCAAGGAGUCCCUGGGCUCACCCACCCUCAAGAAAGAAAAAACAGGAACCGCACAGGGACAGAAAUCAGCCAGCGAGGCCUCCCAGCAGCAUUCCAGGCACUUCUGCUGCAAGGAGGUUGCUGGCCCCAAAGCAGCUUCUUAGGGAACUCUUUCGUCAGUGGCUGAAACUUCUUUCGAAAGAACAGAUCCCGGAGCUUCUGGUUUCGGAGUAGUUUCUGACAUCUUGCCCAGAGGAGAUCCAGAACGGGUGAGGACCAGCAUCCAGAAAAUGCUGAGGAAGCCAUGGCUCUGAGGAUGCACAGAGAUCCCAGGACAACAGCAGGUGUGCGCUGGGGCUAUGGAGAGACCAAGACACUCCUGGCCAUUCUCAGUAGUUCUCCACUGUGAAAACCCUCAGGCCCACGAGAACAGCAGACACAAACGGCCGCGGCAGAAUGACUGGGAGUAGGGCGUUCUGUCACACCAAGUUGCAGAGCCUCCAGUCAAGUUACUGUGAAGCCAAGAAGGCAUGUGUCUGAACCUUGUGUUUUGAGAUCAAGAAAUGAGAUUAAAAAAAAAGAGUCAAAUGCAAUGAUUCAGAGGAAGUAGAAACGAAGAGGCUUUACAGAGACGUCCAGUAGAGAGACUUUUGCCAUUUUGAGCCAAGAACAGGCUGGAAGAAUGAGCCAGCGUCAAGAGGGCAACACCUCAGUUCUCCAGGGGAGAGUGAGAAGCAACCCCCAGCCCAUCCCAGCCCCCCCGGGACUCUGUGCUGCAGUCUCUCCCCCUUUCCUCUGUGGGAACCACUCUCAAGCGCAGAAAACUGUGGCUUUGGUGAGAGGAAUAAGCAGAGGCAGAACAAGAAGUUGAGUGUUUGCUCCACACAGGAGAAGCCGCUUUGGAGAGAGAGGCUGGGCAAAGGCAGGUGUGGGCUUGGAGGUGACCUGUUUGGGACAACCUGACUUCACUGGUGACUUGUAGGAAAGGAAGACAGCCCAGGGACAGACCAGCUGCUGAAGGGCUUUGGAUGUCUGCUCCCAGAAGCUGGUCUGGGAAAUGAGAGAGCCAGAGAAGCCAACAGAGAGGCCUCACUAAGGCUCCUCAUUCCUGGGCCCACUAUGGUCAGGAAGACUGGGGCUCAGCUGCUGAACUCCCUGUGUGCGCAGGCUGCACCCUCCCACCUGCCUGAUCCUCUAGUGUGCUGGGCAGAAAGGGAGCGCCAGCCCCAGAGUCCCCAACCCUUGCUGUCAAGUGACUCCAGACGGUCUGGAAUAGACAGGUGAGAACCGGAAAAUGCAUUCAUUUAUUCAAAAUAUAUCUGCUUCCUGAUAAUGUCUGCACCAGGUCCAGGAGUCAGACAAAGCAGCGGCCGAAGCAGAUCUUGUGUCUUCCAGACACAACUUCACUGGGCCACUCAGGCACCGGCACCAGUCAGGCAGCACUGCCAGCCCCAAGCCCAGCUUUGCAGGGCCUCUCUGCCAAGCUUCCAGGUUCUGGUAAAGCCAACCCUUUUCCGCUGUUUCCCUAAUCCUGUGUGUCAUAGCUGCUUACAGCUACCCUCUGUGCCAUAGGGUUUCAGUUUUUUUUCAGUUCUACCAAACCCGUCUAACAAAUUCUUUACAUUUAAUUCUCUCUGCAGUGUCUAGAACGAGGGAGAGUAUGGUGGCACAGUAGGCUAAGCCUCCUCCUGCAGUGCCGGCAUCCCGUAUGUAUGCUGCCCCUCUUGCGAUCCAGCUCUCUGCUAUGGCCUGGGAAAGCAGUGGAAAAUGGCCCAAGUGCUUGGGCCCCUAAACCAGCAUGGGAGAACCGGAAGAAGUUCGUGGCUUUAGAUUGGCUCAGCUCUGGCCGUUGCAGCCAUCUGGGGAGUGAACCAGUGGAUGGAAGACUUUUCUGUCUCUGCUUCUCUGUCUGUAACCUUUACCUCUCAAAUAAAUAAAAUCUUAAAAAGAAAGAAAGAAAGAAAGAAAUGCCUAGAAUGGUUUCCUUUUUCCUGACUGCACUUUAUUAUCAUAUGCUAAGAAAGUUGGAUUUUAUUCUAAGUGUAAUAGGAAGCAGCUGGACAUGUAAGCAGGGAAUGACAGAAUUCUCUGUGUGGAGAAAGAGGAGAGCAGACAGAAGGAGAAGCAAGGGGAGCAGACGAGACUCUUUGGUUCUGAUGUCCAGAGACAGCUGUCUAGUCAAAUGAUGGCACAGGUUAUGGAUAAAAGUGGGUGGGACGUCUGUAUGUCAGAAGUAAAAUCAACGUGAUAGACUAGCGGGAGACCAGCUAUGGGGUUGGCCAAAGCGGACGUCACGAUGACCGUCAGGUUUCUGGUUUGAAGAGGGUGCCGGGAGGUGAAAGGAAAUGCCGCCCAACAAGAGGGAGAUGCCGAGCAAAGCUGCAGGCAUGCAGGAAAUGCAAGGUUCCGUUCUGGACGUGUAGGUGUAUGUGAGAAACCCAGCUGGCAAGGUCAAGGCAAGCACAGGAUUCCUACUUCUACUAAAUUUGAACAAUCAGGUUUUUGUGUUAAUUUUGAAAAAAAAAAUGCUGGGGUCUCUCUGUCUCUCCUUCCCUCCCUUUUUUUGUCAACUGACGACAGGACCUCACCGUGCUACCUUCCAUUGCCCAAAGGCCUGAUGCUGCACCAGACACUGGACAUGAAUCUGAAGUAGGUUAUGUAACAGGCAACACCUCUACGUCUACAGUUCUUGUGAUGUCUAUUAUCCUCCCUUCUGACGUCCUUUAAGUUGAAUACUGGGGUUCUCCAUAAAGUUUCUGUACCUCCUAAUCUCACUGGAAAAAAACAGUUGGAACAAAUUGAUAUAAUUUUCAACUGACACUAUUCCUUUUUUUUUUAAGGUUUCUUAACCACUUACUGAGGACCAGGUCACACAGCUUCACUACACCCCAAGGAGCAGAGCAAAGCCCACAGAAGCCACCCCUGCCACAGCCAUACUGCGCUUUCAGCUGGAGGUGGCCGGCACAUGGUCACAGCCUAAACAACAGCCGGGCCCCUUGAGCUUCCUCGCCCGACUUCUCUUCCUCUGGGUGCCUCCGCUGAGGCGACCUCCUUCUUCAUUCAGUCUGGGAACACCCCAGGGCCCCUGGCAUCCUCUACCCCUCACUUCAUCUUGGAUGGAAUCUUCAGUUCUCACUGUCCAGCUCAACCCGCACUUGGUUUCUGGGUAGAGACAAAAAGGACACAGCGCUGUCCACACACAGAGAACACAGGCCUCGAGCAAGUGGCCUCCCCACUCCCUGCAGCCGUCAGCCUGACAGCUGACAAACUGGGCGCCUCCCAGGCUGGCUGGUGUCUGCAGGAAGCUGUGCUCCUGCCCUGCUUGGCUACUCCAGGGUCACGUCUGACGUUUUUCAUGAAUUUGGGAUGUACAGAGAUUUCCAAGUACAGCCUGGUUUCCUGGUAGCCCCUGCUAUCCCAGGUUAAAUGACAAAGUGAAAAGAGCUGCACUCUUUCCCAUGUUUAUUUAUUUCUUUCUUUUUUUUAGGUUUUAUCAAUUUUUAUUUAUCUGAAAGAGCAACAGGGACAGACAGAAAAAGACAAGCAUCUCUCACCCAGUGGUUUACUACCUAAAUGUCUGUUAAUAGCAGAGGUGGGCCAGGCUCAACCAGGAGCCCAGAACUCAGUCUAGGUCUCUCACACACUGGUGGCAGGGACUCCAGUACCUGGGCCACCACUUGCUGCCUCCUGGGUGUGCAUUAGCGAGGAGCCAGGCAAGCAGCAGAGGAGCCAGGACUCAGGCCUGGGGACUCUGGUGUGGAUGUGAGCCUCCCCGGCAGAGCUUACACUGCGCCACAGUGACUUCCCCAGAUUUUUCUUCAUUUUGUAACGAGGAGUCCUGGGUCCUACUGCCAGCAGUGGAUUUGUCUGUCUGGGGCGGUUAUUACUUUCUUCUCAUUUCACGCUGUCCCUUCCUCCUUCCUUCUUUCCUUCCUUCCCUCAUCCCUCCAGUCUCACCCUUCUAGCCUGAAAUGUGCUGUUGCCACUUCUUAAAGUACUGAGUUCCACCUUUCUCUCUGUCUCUCUUUCUCUCUCACUGUCCACCCUGCCUGUCAAAAAAAAAAAAAGUACUGAGUUCCUCAGUAACCUCUAUGGGCUGAACUGUACUGAGUAUGAGAUCUGGCCAUCUCUUGGGAAGCUCUCUGAGAACUGGUCUUACCUGGCUCCAGCAGGAGCUUGGCAGUUCUUCCCAUGGCCCCAUGGUUGCACCUCUUGGAGCACACACUGCAAAAUCCUACCUCUGACUCCCUGCUUCACGGCUGCAGGUCACUAUUCAGGUGCAGAAGGGAGGGGCAGGAGGAUAGACUCCCGGAGAGCCAGAGCUGGAAACUCGAUGCAGACUGCAGGACGUGCGGCCAGGAAGAACAGGAGCAGAGCAGGAGGCAGGACCUCAGUACCACACCUGCUGGAGGCACAGCAUGGCAGAGUCCUGUCUGCUCAGGUCUACAGCAGCCCCCACACCCAGGCCCUCUGACACACCUUACGCGCAGUUCCAAGCCCCAGCUGAUCCCACCCUAGCUCCUUCUUGACAGGAUAUCCACUUGUAUUAGUCUACCUCAAGGAGAGGUGCCACUUGGACACUGGGGACUUAACUGAAAUUCUACCUUGGGGCUGGCGCCAUGGCGCAGAAGGUUAAAGUGCUGGCCUGCAGCGCCAGCAUCCCAUAUGGGCACCGGUUCUAAUCCUGGCUGUUCCUCUUUCAAUCCAGCUCUCUGCUGUGGCCCAGGAAGGCAGUGGAGGAUGGCUCAAGCCCUUGGGUCCCUGCACCCUCAUGGGAGACCCAGAAGAAGCUCCUGGCUCCUGGCUUCAGAUUGGUGCAGCUCUGGCCGUUGCAGUCAUCUGGGGAAUGAACCAGUGGAUGGAAGAAUUCUCUGUCUGUACCUCUCUCUGUAACUUUUGCAAAUAAAUAAAAUAAAUCUUUAAAAAAAGCCCUACCUUACUGGGCACUGUGACUCCUCCAUGGCAGAGCAGGCACUCCCAGAACCAGAAGAUUCUCGUUCUCAGGGAAGGCUCAGGUGAGCACAACCUGCAGAGGGGACGGCUGAGCUGCCCUAGGAUAAGUGUCCUCCCGCCUUCAUUCCUGGGACACAGAGACUCCCUGCACGCGUGCUGACUGGCGAGGGCAUCUCACUUUGCCCUCGUCCCAUCCUCCCUCACGCCAGCUGGCCUGGACAUCACUCAGGAAAGCGCCGAAGCAGCUGCUCCACCUCGUUCCAGCGGCCUGUCUUCCUACACUACAGCCUCUGCAACUCGGCCCUUUCUCGCCCGCUGCGCUGGCCUCCCAGGUUCUCCACGCGCACCAAGCUCACCGCCUUCUGGAGGACACUCUCUCGGCCAGGUCAGAGCUCUCUGUGCACAGCGGUCAGGAACUGCUUCAGCGCCACCAACUCCCUUGCACAACUCUGGCUGCAGCCAUCAGUGGCUGAGCUCCAAGACACUUGCUGACAGACACAGGAGUCUGCAGGACGACUGUGAGAGUGCUAAGUCGUCGACCCCUCUAAGGAGUCAGCUUUCGUCCAUCAGCCAUCUGGGAGAACGUCAAGAGUGGAGAGGACUCCAACCCCAACUGAGGCUGAUCUCUGGCCCCACAUUCAGGGCCCACAACUCUGAAGAGCCUCCUCCAACUGGGCCUCCCUGGUAGAAACUUCACCCUGACAAAAGGAGCGAAACGUGAGAGUUCACUUCUACUUCGCUUUUCUGACUUGGAGAGGAUGGAUUCCUUCUCCUAUCCAAAUCAGCCUGGCGUAUGGUCACAGUGCUCUAGUGGAAACCGCCGAUGGACCGUUAGGUAGAUCCAAGUCCCAGCUCAGCUCCAAACUAACUGAUUUGGGGAAAAUUAUUCAGUUCCCUGAGCCUCUUUUUGUCAUCUGGGGAUACAAGACCUACCUUGCAAGACAGGGAAGUACAGAAAUGGUAUUCGUGAAACAUCUGGCCUAGUGCCCGGCACUUGGAAGGUGCUGAGUGAAUGGUACGUGGUGGGAAUGAAAUGCCAGCUUACAGGAACUUCACGGCACACGUCGCAGCUUGACAUAGGUGUAUAGUUAGUGGCUCUUAACUCCUUGCAGGAAUCUAAGAUCCUGAGAGCAGAGACUUUGUCUCACGCACUGCUGAACCUCAGCAACCUGAAGAAUAUCUGCUGCUAAAUAAUUAGUUGGCAAAUGAAUGAGUGAAAGAAGUAAGACGGGGCCAGCAGAUUUCAGAAUCAACUGGGUGGCAAACACUUAACCGCCAUCAUAAAGAACACAAAAGGAGGCACCACUUGGCCGAGCUGUCUGGGACACCCGUCCUCCCUCCACUUCCACGACUGCCACUCUCAGGCCGGGUUUGCAGAAUGGUGGGCGUGCACCCUCUGCGUAGGAAGUGCAGCUGCAAACCCGCAUCCACCCACUAGGUGUCAGUAGCACCCGCCAGGGUGACGACAUUCUCUAGACACCGCCUUACACCCUGGCGUCGUGUACUCGCGCCCUGGCCCAAGGCUGGACUCCCUCCGUGCACAGCGAUCAGCAGUCAGCAUCCCUGCCGAGCCGGGCCGAGGCAUUCGCGAUGUGGAGAUAGGAACACAGGCUUCAAAGACCCCGAGAGACUCACGGGGCCGGCGGGGCCUCUGGCUCCCAAGGCGCGCUCUCUCCAUCCACCUGACACCAGACCCGUUUCUGGCGGGAGUUUAUCUGCUCCACCGCGGCCUGGGGGCCUUGCGCAGGCGGCGUCUGUGUCGCCUCCACGCGCUCACUGCCCGGCGCGAGGACGCACCAGGCCGUCAGGGGCCGAGUGUUUUAUUCCCGCAGACCGCAGACGAAGAGGCCUGAGCCUUCCGAGGGAGGCUGCGCGGGAAAACCCGGGAGAGGCGCUCCGACGGGGCCAGGGCCGCAAGCCGGGCUCCCCGCACAGAGGGCCCAGCCCCGUCCCGGGACCCAGGCCCGAGCCGAGAUCCGCAGGGCAGGGGGCGCGGGCGCAGCCGCAGCCCUCAGACCCGCCUCGCUCCGCCCCGGCAGGAAAAGCCCUCAGCCGUGGCCCGCCGACUCGCCGACUCGUCGUUUUCUAGGUGCCACAUCGGAAACCGCCGCGGGGCGUGCUGGGACAUGGCGAGGACCAGACGCAUGCGCACAGGCUAAGCCCAGAAAGCGAGGCUCACGCAAGCACAGAAUCCAAAGACGGGCCCCUCGGCCCGCUACUAAUAGGCAGCAACUCUUCGCCAAUGAGAAGGCGGAGUCAUUCUUGCGUCAUACGACGGGACCAAUCAUAAUGUCUGAGAAACGGGGGCGGGGAUAGGCCUCUUAGUUCUCCAGUGCUUUGGCAGUGGCUUAUGUUUUACAGAUGAAAUGAUGCCGUCAUAAUCAGAAACUUAGCGCUUGUGUGACGUAUAUUUCCAGGCCCUUUACAUAGCAAGUCACCCUCACAAUAAUCCUGUGAGAUCAACACUUACUAUUUUCAUCUUCCAGACGCGGAAACCCGGAGUUUGGCCUCCUAAUGACCGAGGUCUGGCACGUGUUUCUAGCCCACGUCUUCUCCUUCUAAGAUGUUUUAUUUUCAGAUAUUACCGAAAGAUCUCAAAACAGUCUCACCUGAAAAUGAAUUCUGAAAUAUUUUUCUAAUAUUUACAUUUGUGUUUGUGUUCUGGCUUGGGAUAUACUGAAUAUAUUUUGGAGAGCUUCUGGAUUGGGAUGUGUUGUGAAACAAAGAGCGAAGGGUAACACUAA